AACACACAAAGCAUUUUUUUACUGUGAAGGUUUACAAUGUCGGCAUCGAAAUUUGCUAUAUUUUGUAUUGUUCUCAUUUGUCUUGCUGGUCUUCAUGAAUGUGCCAAUCUGGAAAAAAAAACCCAAAGGAACAUGCUCCAAAAUACCAAAGAAUGCUUGGUUCUGUAGUUCUACUACACACUGCCGAAGCACCAAAGCGGAUUGUGAGAAGAUUUGUAUCUGGUAGUUUAUGGGGCCGUUGAAUUUUUCUGUAGAAAAUUUCUAUAAUAAUAUAUUCCAAUUAUUUUCAUACUUCUAUUAUUAAAAAUUUAGAUAAUAAAUAGAAAUUCCUAUUCCACAGGAGCAGCUAGUAUUAUGUACUAAAUGUUUUGGAAUUUCUUUGAAAGAUCAAUAUAUAUAGUUGUCUUUCUGACUUUCUUCAA
Brassica oleracea var. oleracea is the source of this 422-nucleotide long non-coding RNA. RefSeq lists it as uncharacterized. The transcript is spliced from 2 exons. The record is from RefSeq and is a predicted model, not a curated record. NCBI's taxonomy places the organism in Eukaryota, Viridiplantae, Streptophyta, Magnoliopsida, Brassicales, Brassicaceae.